This 2941-nucleotide long non-coding RNA is filed under the name Mus musculus (house mouse). Its description in RNAcentral is "RIKEN cDNA 2310015D24 gene, transcript variant 1 (2310015D24Rik)". The record is from RNAcentral. Lineage: Eukaryota; Metazoa; Chordata; Mammalia; Rodentia; Muridae.
AAAGCUCACUCUGAGUACCUCCAGAACUAGCUUUCUCCCUGACAAACUAAAGGAAGUUUUGGCCCCUUGACGUCUUUGUGAGGUUGGCAAUCCCCCUGGUCAACCAGAGAACCAACAGGUGAGAUGACAAUGAAAAUAAGGCCCAGUGUACAGCAAAAGGGAUGUAGCAAGACAGAAGUGACUGUGACUCAGAUGUUAUCAAAGACAAGAUGAAGCCUGCCUGAGAACCCUCCUCUUAAACAGCAGGAGCCCAGACCCUGAGCAGGGAGAGAGUCAGGUCCCAGAUGGAGAUGCUGAUCAACUUCAUAGCAUCACCAUGGAGCCAGAUCUGGAAAUUCUCUAGGGGUUGCUGAACAACCCUGUCAUCCCUACCUGACCUCAGCCGCCGAGUCCCUGUGAACACUGUCCGCAAGCAAUCAUCCCGGCGGGGGGGCUUUGUUCUGCAGUCCAAGCCACCUGGAGAAGAACGUGUAAGGUGGAAGUAUGGAGAAAGAUGGCUCACAGAUACAGGAAAGCUGCAGAGGGAGCCGAGUCAGUUCCAGUGUUCAUACAGGGGCAGACUAUGGCAACUACAGCCUAAAAUGGGACCACCUCCAUACAGGAGGUCCUUUGUGUGCGAGCAGCUUGCUAAAGCAAGCACCUGGUGUGCAGUACUGGAGCCUGCCAUCUGAGGCCUGCCACAAAGAGGCAAGGAGAGAGGGUGAGCUGCACCCGACCCUGGAUCUACACAGAGAGGAAAAACAGUUCCCCAGGCCACCUGCUGGCCCUUAUUCUGUUGUUAUGGACUCUGAAAGUCAGGGAAGUGCCAGGAGGGGCAUGCUCAGAGGGAACCGAGGACUGGACUGAGAAAAUGAGCUGCAGUCCUCAUUGACCACUAAUGGGAACUGGAUUACCUGAUACAUCCUGGAGUCUGAACUGGCAGUCCCUAAGGAGCGUUUGCCCCUCUGGACAGAGCAUUCUGUCCCUCACAAGGACCUGGUUAGCAUCCUCUCUGGGAGGUGGCCUCGUGCCUUGGAGCUUUCUAGAGGCUGUCCCUCCUUUGGUAAAUUCUCACUGGUGGCUUGGCCUGAGCCAGCUGUCUUCCCUGCCUGCCUUUGACACAGCCUGGUCUUUCCUGGGCCAUGGGCUAGGCAGGCUCUUUUUGUUCCCUCACACUAGCCCUCCCCAUAACUUAUUUUGAAAUGGAGAAUGUUUCCCAAUCCACCACUUUCCAGGUGCAUACUGUUCCUCACUGAGUGUUCCCACGGGACAAACAGACGGGAGCAUAAUGGACACACGGCCCUCUCCCUGCACUUAUUGGAUCAACCACCUGACUUUCCCAGGCAUAAAUGGGAGGAUGGGACAACGUUCCAGAUGACGCCCAUGGGAGUUCUCUAUAAGAACAGGGAGAUACGGCGUGUAAUGAAGUAAAUUAGAAGUCAUGGCAGCCUCAGGCUAGCUCUUGAUGUUGAAUAACUUCUAUAAACCUGUGAACCCUGUUUUCCUCUUUAGUAUUACCAUGCAUGCAACUGGGUUUGUAAGUAACAGAGCUCUGAAUGUACUGGCUUACAAUAUCCUUGCAGGAACUGAGAAGACAGCAUAGUUAAUAAAGAAACCCCUCUGCAAACAAGAGGCCAAAAAGUUGGACUUGGUGCACACAUUUAUAACCCCUGCCUUGAGAGGGUAGGGAUAGACAGAUUCCUGGGUUUACUGACCAGUCAGUCUACGCUGUGAGCCCCAGGUGAAACACCUUGAAAAAAAAAAAAAGCUGAAAGUGGACAUGGUAUCUACAUCAGGAGUUCCUUCAUAGUAGAUGACGAGGUGCCCCAGUUUGAAAGACCAUAGGAAUGGCGGCCAUAUUGUGUUCACAUAUGCUGGAAGCUGGAUCCAUUUCUGCCUUUUCAAAAAGGCAGAAAUAUAAUAUCCCGCUCCACUUUCUCUUGCUCUGUGGAAAGCCAGCUGAGACACACAGGAACCAAAGCCUGAACAGCUAUCCACAGCCAGAGGACUCGGCCUGAGAGUAUCCUGGCUGAGCUCGGAGGAAACUUCUCCGCUAGGCGUGCCUUGAUGACUGUGUCCUGCAGACCUUUGACGUCAGCCGCUGGAGCUGCUUGAGCUGGAGGAGUCACAGAACUAAUCUGCACAACUUAGAGAAGAAUAAACAUUUCUGUUUGUUUAUUUCAGCUGCUAAAUUUGGACCUCACUUGUUAUAUGGCAUUAGCUGACUAGUACAAUCAUUUUCUAGCUAGACCCACUCCAGAUUUCUGUUACUAAGAGGAAAGGAGAUAGGAAUUGAGGGGCAACCUACAACUCCCUUCACAUGGACCUACCAAUAGGAUUAUUGUGAAAAUGACAGGAGCUAUUGCCGAAAUGGAGCUAGUACUGAGAAGUAUCUGGGGAGAAGUGGUCAUUAAUGCAGGCCUGUGUCCCAUCCGCCCAAGCUUUGCCAGGAGACACGUGAUGGCAAUUCUUGGUUGUCAACUUGACUAUAUCUGGAGUGAACUACAAUCCAGAAAUGGGGGCGGGCACACCCCUGACCCGUGUCUGAAGGCUGAAAGACACAAGCUUUUGAUUCAGAUCUUGAGGUGGGAUGGCAACUGCUCUCAAUCUGGAUCAACACACAUCUUUAAUCCAGGCCUUGAGGCACACCUGGGCGAGACCUUCUGCUGGAGGCCUAUAGAAGGACAAUGGAAGAAGGAAGCAGCACCCACUUUUUCUGCUUGCACUCACUUUGCCAGCACAUCCAUUGGAGCCUCUUUUAGGAUUCCAGCUUAUACAGAAGACCAGCUGAAUCAUCCAGUGUCAUGGGACUGAGAAAAUACGAGAUUCGUGGACUUUCCAUUCACAGCUGGCCAUUGUUGGGUUAGUUGGACUACAGCCUGUCAAUCAUUGCAAUAAGUUCCAUAUAUAUUCCAUGACUCUAGAGAACCCUGACUAAUACAAGACACAAUGGGGUUGUUUC